RNAcentral lists this ribosomal RNA (439 nucleotides) under Clostridioides difficile. RNAcentral describes it as "bacterial SSU rRNA". It matches the Rfam family "Bacterial small subunit ribosomal RNA", at positions 1 to 449 of the family's 1533-position model. The record is from RNAcentral. Lineage: Bacteria; Bacillati; Bacillota; Clostridia; Peptostreptococcales; Peptostreptococcaceae.
UUAUUUGAGAGUUUGAUCCUGGCUCAGGAUGAACGCUGGCGGCGUGCCUAACACAUGCAAGUUGAGCGAUUUACUUCGGUAAAGAGCGGCGGACGGGUGAGUAACGCGUGGGUAACCUACCCUGUACACACGGAUAACAUACCGAAAGGUAUGCUAAUACGGGAUAAUAUAUUUGAGAGGCAUCUCUUGAAUAUCAAAGGUGAGCCAGUACAGGAUGGACCCGCGUCUGAUUAGCUAGUUGGUAAGGUAACGGCUUACCAAGGCGACGAUCAGUAGCCGACCUGAGAGGGUGAUCGGCCACAUUGGAACUGAGACACGGUCCAAACUCCUACGGGAGGCAGCAGUGGGGAAUAUUGCACAAUGGGCGAAAGCCUGAUGCAGCAACGCCGCGUGAGUGAUGAAGGCCUUCGGGUCGUAAAACUCUGUCCUCAAGGAAGAU